RNAcentral lists this long non-coding RNA (744 nucleotides) under Pan paniscus (pygmy chimpanzee). Its description in RNAcentral is "lncRNA (ENSPPAG00000044794.1)". The record is from RNAcentral. Lineage: Eukaryota; Metazoa; Chordata; Mammalia; Primates; Hominidae.
AUGGAGGGAAGACGACUUCUUCCCACAAGAAGGUUCCCUUCUACUCGAGUGGACUGGAGCCCUGAGCUUAUUCCUCAAGGAAAUUUUCUCUCUGGAAGAAAUCCAAUCCUAUCAGACUCAGACAAAAGCCCUGUCACUGGGGUUGUGGGAAAAAGAAAAACCGUACACGGCAGCCCUAACUCUUGCAGAGAGAAUAUGUUAAAUCAUAAAGCAAGAUCAUAUAUGAUCGCAUCUCAAAGUGUGCAAAACAGCAGUAGUGAGGGGGUGGAUUCAGAGGAAGAAGGAGGAAGUACCGACGGGGGAGGCAGGAAAAGAAAUGCCAUCCUGGAUCAGAGCUGUGAACGUCAAAGGAGAGGGGUGAUCCUCACCUCUGGAGAUGAGAGACUGGAAGAGAAUGCCUGUGAAGGUUUUCAGAGGUCAAACAACCUCAGAUCCAGAUGUACUAUGAAUGCAACUAUAAUAGUUUCAGAGCAAUUAUCUCCAUCCAGCUCUGUAGGGCAGAACAACUCGAACUCUGGAGCCCAGCUGGUGAGAAAUCCUUUUAUACAUAGCCCUCUCAGAAUCAGUCCAAACUGAAUUCAAGAUUAGUUUCAGCAGAGAAUCUACUUAGCUGUGGCUAGUGGCCUAGGUAGCUGUUGCCUCUGCAGGCAUCUAAGCAGCCCUGAGAACAGCUGAGUGCCCCAGGUCAUACCUGAAACUCUCUGCCCAUUAACCAAGGCCAGCGUAAGCUCAUGUUCAACACCA